UGCAAGUCGAACGAUGAACCGCUUUCGGGCGGGGAUUAGUGGCGAACGGGUGAGUAACACGUGGGCAAUCUGCCCUGCACUCUGGGACAAGCCCUGGAAACGGGGUCUAAUACCGGAUAUGACUGUCCAUCGCAUGGUGGAUGGUGUAAAGCUCCGGCGGUGCAGGAUGAGCCCGCGGCCUAUCAGCUUGUUGGUGAGGUAGUGGCUCACCAAGGCGACGACGGGUAGCCGGCCUGAGAGGGCGACCGGCCACACUGGGACUGAGACACGGCCCAGACUCCUACGGGAGGCAGCAGUGGGGAAUAUUGCACAAUGGGCGAAAGCCUGAUGCAGCGACGCCGCGUGAGGGAUGACGGCCUUCGGGUUGUAAACCUCUUUCAGCAGGGAAGAAGCGAAAGUGACGGUACCUGCAGAAGAAGCGCCGGCUAACUACGUGCCAGCAGCCGCGGUAAUACGUAGGGCGCAAGCGUUGUCCGGAAUUAUUGGGCGUAAAGAGCUCGUAGGCGGCUUGUCACGUCGGUUGUGAAAGCCCGGGGCUUAACCCCGGGUCUGCAGUCGAUACGGGCAGGCUAGAGUUCGGUAGGGGAGAUCGGAAUUCCUGGUGUAGCGGUGAAAUGCGCAGAUAUCAGGAGGAACACCGGUGGCGAAGGCGGAUCUCUGGGCCGAUACUGACGCUGAGGAGCGAAAGCGUGGGGAGCGAACAGGAUUAGAUACCCUGGUAGUCCACG
Molecule: ribosomal RNA, 728 nt
Filed under: Streptomyces sp. YIM 56220
Lineage: Bacteria; Bacillati; Actinomycetota; Actinomycetes; Kitasatosporales; Streptomycetaceae
Description: bacterial SSU rRNA
Rfam family: Bacterial small subunit ribosomal RNA
Source: RNAcentral